GUCCUUACGGCGUACACGAUCAACAGCGACCUGAAAUAAUGGUGGCCAUCGACGCGGGUAGCUAGAUGUGGAUUCUUCCACGGGAUAAUAAUGCAGAUGAAUUUCAGCAUGCGAUCGUGUUCUCUGCCGUCCAAAUCGGCACAUUGGUUGCAGCCCGCGUCACGGGCUGACGGCACGCCUCCCCUCUCGUCGCGUCUCGCCCGUGUUGAGGAAGUAAGUGCAGUUCACAAGGAGCCAGGGAAGUGCCGAGUUGACCGUUUGUCUGUGUCCAGUAGGUGAGCUGCUGACGGGCGGAUCGUGCCGAGCACCGGCGAGAUGGCGUUGGCCGGCGGAGAUGCUCGCGGCGAGCUCGUCUGCGUCACCGGCGGCAGCGGCUUCGUCGGCUCCUGGCUCGUCCGCCUCCUCCUCGACCGCGGCUACACCGUCCACGCCACCGUCCAGAACCUCCAGGACGAGGGCGAGACCAAGCACCUGCAGGCUCUGGAUGGCGCGGACACGCGGCUCCGGCUGUUCCAGAUGGACCUCCUCGACCCCGCCUCCGUCCGGCCGGCGGUCGAGGGCGUCCACGGCGUCUUCCACCUGGCCUCCCCCGUGAUACUGCAGCCCGCACAAGACCCCGAGAACGAGCUGCUGCUGCCGGCGGUCAAUGGCGCGCUCAACGUCCUCCGCGCCGCCAGAGACAGCGGCGUCAAGCGUGUCGUGAUGGUGUCUUCGCAGACGGCCAUGUGUCCGACGACUGCCGACUGGCCUGCCGGCAAGGUCAUAGACGACGACUGCUGGGCCGACGUUGAGAUCCUCAAGAAACUCGAGCUUUGGUACAACGUCUCCAAAACGCUGGCGGAGAAGGCGGCGUGGGACUUCGCCGGAGAGGAAGGACUGCAGCUGGUUGUGCUGAAUCCAGGGCUGGUGCUGGGCCCGACGUUGACCCCGGCACCUACUGGCAGUCUCCGUCUGCUGAUGCUGCUUCUGGGAGGCCAGAAGCUCGACAUGGAACCCUUCUUCGUCGGCUGCGUGGACGUCAGAGAUGUGGCACAAUCUCUGGUGGUGCUCUAUGAGAACCCGUCGGCGCAGGGGCGCCACCUGUGCAUGGAGUCCGCCGUACGCCUCGUCGAUUUCCACGAUGAACUUGCUAACCUUUACCCUGAAUUCCCGGUUCACAGGAUCCAGGAGGACAAACAGGGCUGGGUGGUGAGGUCGAAGGCUCCGUCCAAGAAAUUGAUCGAUUUGGGCGUUCGUUUCACCCCAUUCGACAAAACUGUCAGGGACACGGUGGAUUGCCUAAGGAGCAAAGGAGAAAUCUAGCCUGUGACCUUGAACAAAUAUACAUUUUGUGUAUGCCAGGUUUGAAAACUGUUGCAGGAAAAAAAUUCUGCUGUAUGAACUGCCGCCGUGCAUGUAACCAUGAUCAAUAAUGCAUGUUUUCCAUUUCAUGUUUCAA
This 1438-nucleotide ribosomal RNA is filed under the name Triticum aestivum (bread wheat). RNAcentral's name for it is "partial small subunit ribosomal RNA". The record is from RNAcentral. Lineage: Eukaryota; Viridiplantae; Streptophyta; Magnoliopsida; Poales; Poaceae.